RNAcentral lists this long non-coding RNA (273 nucleotides) under Ananas comosus (pineapple). RNAcentral describes it as "long non-coding RNA (ACOM_LNC032797)". Lineage: Eukaryota; Viridiplantae; Streptophyta; Magnoliopsida; Poales; Bromeliaceae. The record is from RNAcentral.
AUUAGCAUAAAAAUCUACUAGUUUUGCGUUUUUGCAAAAAUAGGCCACCUUUUUUUAUUUUAAAGAUCAGGUCUGAAUUUUCAGUAAACUGAUUAAAAUAAUCUUAUUCUUCUUUUUCUCUCCUUUCUCUCUCGUUCAUUUUUCUCUUUCCCCUUCGUCUCCGCCCUCCCCACCGUUCCUUCCUCUCUUUUUCCUUCCACUUCCUCUUUCUUCUCCGUAGCUCCCACGUUGACGUCAUGCUCCUCCUUCCUACCUUGCCCAGAUAUGGUGUAA